RNAcentral lists this transfer RNA (65 nucleotides) under Dipodomys ordii (Ord's kangaroo rat). It matches the Rfam family "tRNA". Rfam says of the family: Transfer RNA (tRNA) molecules are approximately 80 nucleotides in length. Their secondary structure includes four short double-helical elements and three loops (D, anti-codon, and T loops). Lineage: Eukaryota; Metazoa; Chordata; Mammalia; Rodentia; Heteromyidae. The record is from Rfam by way of RNAcentral.
GGCAGCUCAGUGGUAGAGUGCUUGCCUUGCAUGCAUGAGGCCCUGGGUUCAAUUCCUCAGUACCA